Molecule: long non-coding RNA, 15733 nt
Filed under: Vitis vinifera (wine grape)
Lineage: Eukaryota; Viridiplantae; Streptophyta; Magnoliopsida; Vitales; Vitaceae
Description: long non-coding RNA (VVIN_LNC007081)
Source: RNAcentral
GGAGAUAACAAUCUUGACUCGAAGAAGUUAAAGUCAUUGAUGAGAUAGAGGUUUGGUGAGAGCAUCCACAAGUUGCUAUAAAAAAUAGACAUGUGAGACUCAAAGUUUAUCACUUUGAACCUUGUCAUGAACAAAAAUGAAAAUCAAUGGAAAUGUGCUUCAUAUAAGAGGGAAAUACUAGAUUGACAUAAUGAUAAGUAGCUCAAAUGUAACCACAAUAAAUGAUCGAUAGAGAUUGUAAGGAAACCCUAAGUUCAUGAAGAAGAGACUUGAUUCACAAUAACUUGGAAGCAGUGGAAGCCAUGGAUCAAUACUCAUUGUGGAUGACCAAGUUACAAAUCUCUACUUCUUGAAACUCCAUGACAUGGGAUUGGGAAAAAGAAAUACUACAAGCAUACUACAAAAGUAUAAUCCUUAGAAUUGCUUGCCCAAUUUGCAUUAAAGAAGGUAUGAAAAGACAAAGAAGAACUUUAUUGGAGUAGAAACCCAUGAUCAACGAUACAACGUAAAUAAUGAAGUAGUCGCUUGACUAUAGUCUAAUGUCCCAUUGUCAGUUUAUGCAUAAAUUGGGAUAAUUUGUUAACAGAAAAGACAAUAUCUAGACCAAUGUGAGAAAGUUAUUCUAAGCCCCUAACUUGCAUAUACUUGAUAGCAUUCAUGAAAGUGAGCCAUCAUUAAGUGAGAACUUGAUUCAUUAAGAGAGGUCUAUGGACUUCCUUGGCUUGAACAACUUUGUCUUGUCUAGAAGAUCAUGAAUAUACUUUUUCUAGGAAAGAAGUAAUCCAUGAUGAUGAGGUAAAACUUCAAUGCUAAGGAAAUAUGAAAUAGCCUUGAGAUCUAUGAUGGAAAAUUGACUAGGAAGUUGUUGGGCUAACUUGCUAAGAGCUUGAGAAUCAUUACCUGUCAAAACAAAAUCAUUUAGAUAGGCAUGAAAGUAAAUGGUGAAACCAUAACUCUUGUAGAUGAAAAGAAAUAUAUUGAACCAAGAGUUGACAAAACCUUUGGAAAGAAGAAACUCCCUCAACUCCUUAUACUAGGCUCAUGGAGUUUGUUUAAGUACAUAAAGAGCCUUUUUCAACUUACACACAUGAUUGGUAUAAUUGUGAUCAAUGAAGGGUUGGGUCAUGAACAUAUCCUCCUUCAAGUGGCCAUGAAGGAAGACAUUUGACAUCAAGUUCACAAAGAGGCUAGCCACAUGAUAGAGCUAUAACCAAUGUAAGUAUGAUUAUGGUUCAUUUUAUAAUAGGGUUGAAAGUAUAAUGAUAAUCAAUGCCAAGAUGUUGGUGAAAGCCCUUGGCCACAAGCCUCACUUUAUACUAGUUGAUGGCCACAUCAAGAGUCCAUUUGAUAUGAAAUAAUGACACACCUAUUUGCAACUUACCAAAUUUUAUGAAGGAUGGGAAGGUACUAAGUCCCAUGUACCAUUGUUCAUGAAAGCAUUGAACUCAUUUGACAUAGCUUGAUGCCAAAUAGGAAUCUUAAGGGGCCCUGGGUAAUGAUGGUAAGUUCAGUAGUUUUGGUUGUAAGGUAAAUGAGGUAAAAGAAAAUUUAUGUUUUGGUUUGUGGGUAUUGUUUUUGUCUUUGCUAAUCAUGGAAUUUUGGUUUUGCCCAUAAGGAGUAUUCCAAGUUCACAAUUUCAUGAUUUUCUUCUUUCAAAAUUGGAGGUGAGCAAGGUUGAGAUUUGUCUAAGAAUCUCAUGAAAUUGUAACCUACAAGAAAUGUAUGAAAUUGAAUUCUUCAAGAGGUGUAAUUAUUUAUGGCGAGUUUGAGAGGGGUUUAGGCGACUACAUUGAUGGAGAUUAUGGUUUGAUUGUUUUCAAAAGGAUUUAUGAUAGCAAGAUGAGAGAAUGAGGUGGCGAAAGAUUUGGGGUUUUUUUGGAGUGUUAGGAUUGACAUUGGAGCACCUUGGGCUUUGAUACCAUAUGAGGGUUGUAGCCAAAGUACUAUUGAGGGAUAUAAUGAACAUGUAAGGUUUGGAGAAUGAAUGAAUUAAUUCUCAUUGAUGAACUUAUACACAUAUUUAUUCAAUGUACAAAUUAUAAAAGAAUAAAUUUCCUAAAAUCAAGCACCUAAAAUCAUGAAACUAAUUAACAAGAGAUAUUUACAAAAUUUUCUAAGAAUAUGGAAAGUGAAUAUUAAACAACUAGUAUUUUUACCGUGAUUCCUACCUUAUAUGCGUCUGUGUAUUGUUGCAUUUAUCAUGGGUGUUCACCAUGCUCUAAGAUAGCGUUGUUAAUUACAAGAAAUAAAAAUUUUAGUGUGUUGAAGGUUGAACUAUAGGGAAAGGGAAGAGCCGAGGAUGCAUAUGGGAGGCUAGGAGGUGAAUUCAAGUGAUUUGAGUGAAAUUUUGGAAUUAUGGUAUAUAUAUUUUCUCAAAAUAGAGAAGAAUUUUAAUGGUUAAAAAUUUAGAUAAAAGGUUAUGGAAAAACACUAGGGAUAAGAGAUACCUCCCAGAGACCUUUGCAUUAACUCAACAUAUACAACUAAAUUUUUAAAAUGAGAGUAACCUAGGAAAUAUGUGGUCUUGAAUGUCAUGGACAUUGCACUUGAGCCCUAACUCCAAGACAAACUUUGCAAAAUCACGAGAUGUUUGCUACAAGUCAAGUCAUUAAAAUCUCACUCUAGGUGCUUUCUUAAGCAUUUUAUGACCUAAAAUAGAAGUUGUAAAAAGAGGAUUAGAAAAUAAAUGGAAUAUCUCUCUUGAUUUAUUGGAAUGAACAACUAGUGCCUUUAUAGAGAAAAAUUUAACAACAAUAUAGAAUCUAGGCUAAACUAAAUCCCUAGAAUAUAGGAAAUAACUAGGUAGAAUCUAGACUAAAUUAAAUCUCUAGAAAAUAGAAACCAAAAAUUCAAAGAGAUAAAGCUUCCUAAUCACCUACUAUUUUGAAUUUUAAAAAUAGAAUAUUAAUAAAACUAAAACAUAAAACACUUAAUCCUAAAUAAUAUUCUCUACACUCCCCUUCAAAUUGGGGAAAAAUGUCCAGUAAUCCUAGCUUGUGUGUUAGAUCCUCAAAGUUUGUCUUGGCAAACCUUUUGUUAAGAUGUCUACAAUUUGUUUCUUUGUAGGAAUGUAGGUAAUGCAUAUUAACCCUUCUUCCAUCUUCUCUUUGGUGAAAUGAUGAUAAACUUCAAUGUGCUUUGUUAUGUCAUGAUGAACUAAGUUGUGAGUUCUACUUAUGGUAGCUUUUUUUUUUUUUUUUUGUCAUAGUAGCAAUAACUCUAACCAAAUCAUGACACAAAUCCCCUGAACAAUAGACCUAAACUCAACCUUAGUGUAGCAACUACAAUACUUUUUUUUUUUUACUUCAUGCACACGUCAACAAAUUUUCCUAAAUAAAUGUGCUAUAACUCGAGCUAGACCUCCUCCUAUCUUCUACUAAGAUGGCCUAAUUAGCAUCAAUGAAAGCUUCAAUCUUCUUCUUUAUUCAAUCAAACUUAUCUUGAUGUAAAUACUAAAAAGAUUAUUAGCCUUUCUAUAUCUUGAAACUUGGAAAAACUGUUUAUGAAUUGCAUUUGGGAUUAUGAGGGUUUUGCAUUCCCUCAAGGUGUCCAAAAGUGCAAUAAGGAGCAUGUGUCGUGCUACAUCACGGAUGUGAGAUCCGAUAUAGGUUUUGGGGUAUAAGUCUUAGGGAUAGCUUCAACCAGGUAAUUAUGUGUACUUUUCUUUGAGAUGAGCUCUACUAUCUCUUAACUCUAUGAUUAUCACAUUUCACAAAGUCUCUAGAAGACUUUGUAGGUGGUUUUCCAUGUAUAGUGUGUCUUUAUAUGUAAUUGAAUUUCUCUUUUAAUUGAUAAAUUUCUUUAAGAGGAAUAACAAAAUAAAAAUUGGGUUGUAAUUAUAUUUGUGUAUUGACAAUUUCGGGUCAAAAUUCCAAUUGUGCUUUUCUUAGUUCAUACCUUAAAUCCUCCCUUAGACUCUUGCCAUUUUCAAAGUGUUCAUGGUUGAAGACGACUUGAGGAGAUGGUAAGUACUUUUGAGGUGCUGGAUGAUGAUAAACAUUGAUCAAUCAUGUUUUAAAAUCUUAUCAUUUUAUUGAAAAAGAUAGUGGUUACUUAAGGAGUGUAAAACAUAGCGUUUAAAUAAUUUGGACCGAUUUCUAAUUGAUUGAUGGAACUUAAGGGUAAUAGUUUCUGUUGUACCUAGUUCUUUUUUAAUUCUUGUCUGAUCGAUGAAACUUCAAUCACAUCUACAUUCCUUCAACUUUUUCCAAAUGACUCUCAACAGUUGAUGAGUUCUAAAACCCUAAUAUUUAAGCCACCUUUCUAGGAAAGGAGAAACAACUAUGAGAGUGAGAGUUGAGCUUCAAGUUUUUCUAACUAAAUUGGAGAGUGUUUGCCUUGAGAGAAAAUCACUUGGGUUUGAGUUGAAAAUCAAUUUUUGAAUGAGAAAUUUUCAUUCCAAAUGGGUUGAUUCAUUGUGUUAUUCAUCCUUACUCUCAUGCUCAUCAUUUUGGGAUAAAACCAAAAUUUCUUCUUACAUAGAUUCAAGAAGAGGCUGAGAUUAAGUUUGGUAUGGAUUCCAAGUAUGCUCCAAAAUAAGAAAAUUAAUAACUAAAGUUUGAAGGUUCUAGACAAGAGGUUUGGGAGGAAUGAAAGCUUAGACUAGGUAAAUCCUUGUACUUAAUUGAUUUUCUUCAUAGUGGAUGAUUUGAUCACAUAAGGCUAGUGGUUUUUUUUUAUCUUUUAAGAGAAUUUCCAUGUUAAAAUAUUAUUUCCAUGUUAAAAUAUUGGUGCCAUUGUCUCUCUAUUCUAUAUGAUACUUUGAUUCAUUUUUCAUUAGCUUAUGAUAUUUCCAUUAUGAUGUUUUGGAUGAUUAAUUGCAAUAUAAGCUGAAAUUAGAUCUUUGAAAUUUUAAAAGAAUAUGGUGUAUUUUAGUUUUUGGUGUUGAUGUCAAGAACAUGCGAAAAUGUAUUUUUGUGUUUAUGCAAUAUCUUACAUAACAUGAAUGGGGAAUGUUGAUUCAUAUGUAUGUGACUUGCAUUGACUAACUUAUUGGGAGAGUAUUGAUGUAUCCAUUGUUGCUUGUGAUUUGCUUUAUGGUUGAUAGGAUUGAAAAAGAAACUUAAAACAUUUGAGAAAAAUAGGGGAAUUGUAAGCAUUUGUAAGAUACCAUCUCAAAUUGUUUUAAAACCACCUAUUCAGCCCCCCUUUACGUGUUAUCCCUAGGUGAAAUUCAUUUUCAUGGGACUUAAACGCUCUUGUAGAGAAAUUGUAGGUGGCGUGGUAGGGCUAAGAGUAGAAUGAAGAACCUUUAAUGAAGUUGAUGAGUUAACCUUGGAUUUGCAUGAUCCUUCCUCUUGAUGUCAUGUCAUGGCCAAGGUGGUCCAUGCUUCUUAAGAUGUUUUGUUAAUAGUAAUGAACAAAAUAAUGGUAGGAGAAGGAUAACCAACAACAACAUUGAGAAUGAAUUGGUCUUGGUAAACCCAUAAGGAGUAUUCCAAGUUCACAAUUUCAUGAUUUUCUUCUUUCAAAAUUGGAGGUGAGCAAGGUUGAGAUUUGUCUAAGAAUCUCAUGAAAUCGUAACCUAUAAGAAAUGUAUGAAAUUGAAAUCUUCAAGAGGUGUAAUUAUUUAUGGCGAGUUUGAGAGGGGUUUAGGCGACUACAUUGAUGGAGAUUAUGGUUUGAUUGUUUUCAAAAGGAUUUAUGAUAGCAAGAUGCAAGAAUGAGGUGGCGAAAUAUUUGGGGUUUUUUUGGAGUGUUAGGAUUGACAUUGGAGCACCUUGGGCUUUGAUACCAUAUGAAGGUUGUAGCCAAAGUACUAUUGAGGGAUAUAAUGAACAUGUAAGGUUUGGAGAAUGAAUGAAUGAAUUAAUUCUCAUUGAUGAACUUAUACCCAUUUAUUCAAUGUACAAAUUAUAAAAGAAUAAAUUUCCUAAAAUCAAGCACCUAAAAUCAGGAAACUAAUUAACGAGAGAUAUUUACAAUUUUUUCUAAGAAUAUGGAAAGUGAAUAUUAAACAACUAGUAUUUUUAUCAUGAUUCCUACCUUAUAUGCGUCUGUGUAUUGUUGCAUUUAUCAUGGGUGUUCACCAUGCUCUAAGAUAGGGUUGUUAAUUACAAGAAAUAAAAAUUUUAGUGUCUUGAAGGUUGAACUAUAGGGAAAGGGAAGAACUGAGGAUGCCUAUGGGAGGCCAGGAGGUGAAUUCAAGUGAUUUGAGUGAAAUUUUGGAAUUAUGGUAUAUAUUUUUUCUCAAAAUAGAGAAGAAUUUUAAUGGUUAAAAAUUUAGAUAAAAGGUUAUGGAAAAAUACUAGGGAUAGGAGAUCCCUCCUAGAGACCUUUGCAUCAACUCAACAUAUACAACCAAGGCUUUAAAAUGAGAGUAACCUAGGGAAAGAUGUGGUCUUGAAUGUGAUGGACAUUGCACUCGAGCCCUAACUUCGAGACAAACUUUGCAAAAUCAUGAGAUGAUAGCUACAAGUCAAGUCAUUAAAAUCUUACUCUAUGUGACUUCUUAAGCAUUUUAUAACCUAAAAUAGAAGUUGUAAAUAGAGGUUUAGAAAAUAAAUGGAAUAUCUCUCUUGAUUUAUUGGAAUGAACAACUAGUACCUUUAUAGAGAAAAUUUUAACAACAAUAUAGAAUCUAGGCUAAACUAAAUCCCUAGAAUAUAGGAAAUAACUAGAUAGAAUCUAGGCUAAAUUAAAUCUCUAGAAAAUAGAAACUGAAAAUUCAAAGAGAUAAAACUUCCUAAUCACCUACUAUUUUGAAUUUUAAAAAUAGAAUAUUAAUAAAACUAAAACAUAAAACACUUAAUCCUAAAUAGUAUUCUCUACACUCCCCCUCAAAUUGGAGAAAAAUGUCCAGUAAUUCUAGCUUGUAUGUUAGAUCCUCAAAGUUUGUCUUGGCAAACCUUUUGUUAAGAUGUCUAUAGUUUGUUUCUUUGUAGGAAUGUAGGUAAUGCAUAUUAACCCUUCUUCCAUCUUCUCUAUGGUGAAAUGAUGAUCAAUUUCAAUGUGCUUUGUUAUGUCAUGAUGAACUAAGUUGUGAGUUCUACUUAUGGUAGCCUUUUUUUUGUUACAAUAGCAAUAGCUCUAACCAAAUCAUGACACAAAUCCCCUGAACAAUAGACCUAAACUCAAUCUUAGUGUAGUAACUACACUAUUUUUUUUUUUACUUCAUGCACACGUCAACAAAUUUUCCUAAAUAAAUGGGCUAUAACUCGAGCUAGACCUCCUCCUAUCUUCUACUAAGAUGGCCUAAUUAGCAUCAAUGAAAGCUUCAAUCUUCUUCUUUAUUCAAUCAAACUUAUCUUGAUGUAAAUACUAAAAAGAUUAUUAGCCUUUCUAUAUCUUGAAACUUGGAAAAAUUGUUUAUGAAUUGCAUUUGGGAUUAUGAGGGUUUUGCAUUCCCUCAAGGUGUCCAAAAGUGCAAUAAGGAGCAUGUGUCGUGCUACAUCACGGAUGUGAGAUCCGAUAUAGGUUUUGGGGUAUAAGUCUUAGGGAUAGCUUCAACCAGGUAAUUAUGUGUACUUUUCUUUGAGAUGAGCUCUACUAUCUCUUGACUCUAUGAUUAUCACAUUCACAAAGUCUCUAGAAGACUUUGUAGGUGGUUUUCCAUGUAUAGUGUGUCUUUAUAUGCAAUUGAAUUUCUCUUUUAAUUGAUAAAUUUCUUUAAGAGGAAUAACAAAAUAAAAAUUGGGUUGUAAGUAUAUUUGUGUAUUGACAAUUUUUGGUCAAAAUUCCAAUUGUGCUUCUCUUAGUUCAUACCUUAAAAUCCUCCCUUAGACUCUUGCCUUUUUCAAAGUGUUCAUGGUUGAAGAUGACUUGAGGAGAUGGUAAGUACUUUUGAGGUGUUGGAUGAUGAUAAACAUUGAUCAACCAUGUUUUAAACUCUUAUUAUUUUAUUGAAAAAGAGAGUGGUUACUUAAGGAGUGUAAAACAUAGAGUUUAAAUAAAUUGGACCGAUUUCUAAUUGAUUGAUGGAACUUAAGGGUAAUAGUUUCUAUUGUACCUAGUUCUUUUUAAUUAUUGUCUGAUCGAUCAAACUUCAAUCACAUCUGUAUUCCUUCAACUUUUUCCAAAUGACUCUCAAUAGUUGGAUGAGUUCUAAAACCUUAAUAUUUAAGCCACCUUUCUAGGAGAGGAGAGACAACUAUGAGAGUGAGAGUUGAGCUUCAAGUUUUUCUAACUAAAUUGGGAGAGUGUUUGCCUUGAGAGAAAAUCACUUGGGUUUGAGUUGAAAAUCAAUUUUCGAGUGAGCAAUUUUCUUUCCAAAUGGGUUGAUUCAUUGUGUUAUUCAUCCUUACUCUCAUACUCAUAAUUUUGGGAUAAAACCAAAAUUUCUUCUUGUAUAGAUUCAAGAAGAGGCUAAGAUUAAGUUUGGUAUGGAUUCCAAGUAUGCUCCAAAAUAAGAAAAUUAAUAGCUAAAGUUUGAAGGUUCUAGACAAGUGGUUUGGGAGGAAUGAAAGCUUAGACUAGGUAAAUCCUUGUACUUAAUUGAUUUUCUUUAUUGUGGAUGAUUUGAUCAGUUAAGGCCAGUGGUUUUUUUAUCUCUUGAGAGAUUUUUCAUGUUAAAAUAUUGGUGCCAUUAUCUCUCUAUUCUAUAUCAUACUUUGAUUCAUUUUUCAUUAGCUUAUGAUAUUUCCAUUAUGAUAUUUUGGAUGAUUAAUUGCAAUAUAAGCUGAAAUUAGAUCAUUGAAAUUUUGAAAGAAUAUGGUAUAUUUUAGUUUUUGGUGUUGAUGUCAAGGACAUGUGAAAUUGUAUUUUUGUGUUGAUGCAAUAUCUUACAUAACAUGAUUGGGGAAUGUUGAUUCAUAUGUAUGUGACUUGCAUUGACUAACUUAUUGGGAGAGUAUUGAUGUAUCUAUUGUUGCUUGUGAUUUGCUUGAUGGUUGAUAGGAUUAAAAAAGAAACUUAAAACAUUUGAGAAAAAUAGGGGAAUUGUAAGCAUUUGUAAGAUACGAUCUCAAAUUAUUUUAAAAACACAUAUUCAGCCCCCCUUUAGGUGUUAUUCAUAGGCGAAAUUCAUUUUCAUGGGACCAAACACUCCAAGGUUUGUUCUAUUGGAUCCCUUGGUCGUUCCAUUGAAGCAUGCCAAAACCGUCAUGACCAAAUCAAUCAAAUUGAUUUAAAAAAGAUGACCUUUUGUUACAAUGUUAUGAUUGGGGCUUUGGCUUCGUCCAACACCAUUACCCCUUGGUGUUGGAGGUCAAGUAACCAAUAGUCCCCUACAAUUCACUUCUUUGGUUGAGGAUGAUGGUAGUUGUCCUCAAGUGGCUCUUGAGCCUAUAAGCCUCUAAGUGCACUUGAGCGCCUUCACCUGUGCAAUAUUAAAAAGGACUACCUAUUCACCCCUAAUCAGUUUCAUAACAAGAUUCUAAAAUUUCAUGCACCAAAAGCUAACCUAUGAUCGUACAUAUUUUUACAUGUUAUUUUAAUUUUUCAUUGGCACAUACUUGAUAUAAUCAUAUAAUAAUAUUUAGUGUACCAAAAAAUUUUCUUUAGUUGGCUUUGUCCCUUUAUUAAUGUAUGAUUCUAUGAUUCUAUUUCUGCACAAGGCAGUUGCUGUGAAUAAAACAUGUUACGAAUGAAUUUUCAUGCUUUUUCUUAUCAUUCAUAGUACAUAAAUUCAGAUCCAUCAUAGUUUUAUUGUGCAUUUUAAUUCAGGCAUGAGUCCGUGGUUAUAAAGGAAGUCAUUAAAGAAAUUUGGGAUGAAAUGGCGUCUAAGCCCUUUAUUAUGGAUUGCCCGAGUACAAAUGAAUUCAUAUUGAAGGACUUGGUUAAGUUUAUGAACAUUCAAUCAGAAGAUGUUCACAUGAUUGGGAUUUAUGGAGAGGAUGGACUUGGCAAAACAGCGAUUGCCCAAGCUAUUUGUAAUGAAAUCUCUUCUCAAUUUGAGGGAUGCAGUUUCCUUGCAAAUAUUAGAAAGGUUUCCAAAGAAUAUUUUGGUCUACAACGUUUACAAGAACAACUUUUUCGUGAUAUUCUAGUGCUAAGAGGAAAUCGAGAAAUAAUCUUUCACAGAAGGAAUGAUGUGAUAAAGCAGAUCUGUUGUAGAAAGGUUCUCAUUAUUCUUGAUGAUGUGGAUGAAUUGGAACAACUGCAAUUCUUAGCGCGAGAAAGCAAUUGGUUUGGCAAGGGAAGUAUGAUCAUUAUAACUUGUACAGACAAAGAGAUAUUAACAAGACACAGCGUGAAAUUAUCAUAUGAGCUUACGAAGUUAAAAAAUCCUGAAGAUGUUCGCCUCUUUACUCAGCAUGCCAUCAGUAAAGGACGAUCCCUCUGUAACAUUCAUAAACUUCUAGAGCGUGCAAUCGAUUAUUGUUGUGGCCUUCCUUUGGCCCUUAAAGUUGUGGGUACUUUUCUUAAAACGAAGACACGAGAACAAUGGGAAAAGGCAUUGGUUUGUUUGGAAAGACAUCAAGGAGAAUUUAACAAGAAAAAUCUAGAGGAUGUGCUUCGCUUGAGUUUUGAAGAACUAAGGGACAACGAGAAGGAUGUAUUCUUUGAUGUUGCAUGCUUCUUCAAUGGAGAGCACAUAAAUUUUGUUACAAAAAUAUUGGAUGGGCGUGGCUUCUCUGCAAAAGAUGGAAUACAAGUUCUCCGUGAUAGAUGUCUCCUAACUAUUUCAGAUCAGAAGUUAUGGAUGCAUAAUUCCAUACAAGAUGUGGGUCGGGAAAUGGUUCGCCAAGAAAAUAAGAAAGAAGGUAAAAGAAGCCGAUUAUGGGAUCAUGAUAAUGUUGAAUACGUCUUGACACAUAAUAAGGUAAUAUAUAUACCCUUCUAUAUAUGCUAUUCCAUAUAUAUAUAUAAAUAUAUAUAUAUAGAGAGAGAGGGAGAGAUAAUGCACCAACUUAUCCUUUGCUUUUGCUUGUCAGGGGACUGAUGCAAUUGAAGGCAUAGUUCUAGACUUGUCUGAAUUAAACCAACUACAGUUUACAACUGAAGCCUUUGCAAAAAUGACUGAACUUAGAGUGCUAAAAUUCUUCAUGGGAUGUAAAAAUGUGUGUGAAGAGAGUUGUAAAGUGCUCUUUUCUGGAGAUUUGGAACUUCCUGUUUCUGAUUUAAGAUAUCUCCAUUGGCAUGGAUACCCUUCAGAUUCAUUUCCAUCAAAUUUUCUAAAGGCAGAUGCGCUUCUUGAGCUCCAUAUGCGUUAUAGCUGCCUAAAACAUCUUAAAGAGGACGAGGUACGACCAUUUUUUAUCUGUAUAUUUGCAAUAAGAAGUGUUAAUGCAAGGCUAAUUUAUUCAAGAAAAUUUCCUUGUUCACAGGGAUGUUUUCCAAAGUUAACUGUCCUGGAUCUCAGUCACUCUCGAAAUUUAGUAAAAAUCUCAAACUUCUCAACCAUGCCAAAGUUGGAGAAACUAAUUCUUGAGGGUUGUACAAGUUUGCUCGAGAUUGACUCAUCUAUUGGAGAUCUGAAUAAACUUAUUUUCUUGAAUUUGAAUGGCUGCAAAAACCUUGAUAGUCUUCCCAGCAGCUUUUGCAAAUUGAAAUUUCUUGAAACCCUUAUUGUAUCUGGUUGUUUCAGACCAGAGGAAGUGCCGGUUGACUUGGCGGGACUGCAAAUCUCAGGGAACCUGCCCGAAAAUAGAACUGCUACGGGUGGAAGUACAAGUCAAGUUUCUUUGUUUGGUUUAUGCUCAUUAAGGGAAUUAGAUCUAAGUGAUUGCCAUCUAAGUGAUGGAGUGAUCCCCAGCGACUUUUGGCGAUUAUCCUCCUUGGAAAGAUUAAAUCUAAGCGGAAACGAUUUCACUGUAAUUCCAGAAGGCAUCGCUCAACUUUCGAAGUUAAGUUUCCUUCAGCUAGGAUAUUGCCAGAGGCUUCUAGGAAUCCCAAAUCUUCCCUCGACCGUCCAAGAAGUGGAUGCACAUGUCUGCAGUUCCCUGAGACCUUCAUCCAACUUCAGAGAUGCAACAACCAUAUUAUGGAGAAUUCAGGUCUCCUCUCUCUCUCUCUCCCUUUCUAACUGUCUAUCUAUCUAUCUAUCUAUCUAUCUAUCUAUCUAUCUAUCUAUCUCUUUCUCUCUCUCCCUCUCUCCCUCUCUCAUGUUAAACCUUAAACUUCAUGGCAGAACCUUGCACCAAAUAACGAAUUCUGUAUUCUUCUUCCUGGAAGUGGAAUUCCGGAUUGGUUCGGCGAUAGGAAAAUGGGAUGUUCAGUGGCAAUAGAGAAGCUGCCUCCGGAAUGGCAUCAAGUUAACUUCCUGGGCUUUGCUGUAUGCUUUGUAUUUGCGUCAGAGCAUGAAAUACCUGAGCACACUCCUGUAGUAUCAUGUAAAAUAAAUGAUUUCAGAUUUUCCUACGCUUUCUCAUGUGGCCGUGGAGAAAAUGAAUUUGUUGAGUCAGAUCACCUGUGGCUGGCAUACCAACCACGCGCUCGAGUUGAAAAUUUUCACCCUUACGAUUGGACUCAAAUUAAGGCUUCAUUUGAAGUCUUUGGCAUCGGUACACGCAAUAAGGUAAAGGAGUGUGCCAUUAGUCUUAUAUACGCUGAUAGGUAGAGAUUACAACAGAACGGAGAUGGUGGCAUCAUCCAGGUUUUCGUCCAACUUUCAACAGCUCUUUUCUGUAGUUUGAUUUUGAAUUUUUCUCCAAAGAAAGGCUUUGUGAUUCAUAUGUGUGAACUUAUUGGCAGAGUUACAGGAAAUUGAUUUCCAAUGGAAGCUUCAUUAUCACUUGCUGGUGCAGUUACAUGAAGGCAAAAAUAAAUCCACAUAUGACUAUCUAGUUGUAGUUUUACUUGAUGAGUUGUGUUAUGUGCAAAGGAAAAUCGGCAAAACUCUCAAGAAAAAGAAGAAGAAAAAGAGUCAAUUUCAAUCGGAUCAUCCAAAGUUUGGUAUAAAUACAUCUAACCAUCGUUAAUUUCAAAUUUUGUUAUUUAGUACCCUCAUAAAUUAAUUUCGUUUAUUUGAUGAAUUGUGUUGUGUGCAAAGGAAAAUCUGCAAAACUCUUGCGACAAAGAAGAAAAAGAGUUCAUUUCACUCUAAUCAUCCAAAGUUUGGUAUAUUUACACCUAAUUAACUACCAUUGAUUUCAAAUUUUGUUAGUUAGUACCCUCAUAAAUCUAUAUGUUAAUUUACUUGAUGAGUUGUGUAAUGUGCAAAGGAAAAUCAACAAAACUCUCGGAUUAAAGAAGAAAAAUAUUUAAUUUCACUUAGAUCCUCUUAAGUUUGGUGUAGAUACAUCUAACCACCAUUGAUUUCAAAUUUUAUUAGUUAGUACUUCUAUAAAUUUAUUUCAUAUAUUUUUUAAGAGAGAUUUUAAAUAGAUGUGUUUAAUAUUUUUCUAAAAGAUAAAUUUCAUUUUCUAAAAAUAAAAUAUGUAUAUUAAAUAUAUUUUUAGGAUGCUAAUUAACCAAAUUUGAAACCAACGAUAAUUUAGCCUAUUACACUAAACAUGAGGGGUUAAUGAAAUUAACCCUAAGAAAUUUUCAUAAUAAGAAGUGAUUGAUUAUGCAAAUGGCAUCCAAUGGAAAUUUGAUUGAAUUAAUAUCAAUUAUUACUAACCUAGGGUUAGAGAAUCUUUGACCGUGUUUGGUUUCAAAAAAUACUAAGAAAAGAAAAAAGUGAUAAGAAAAAUUGUUUUCUUGUGUUUGCUUUCACCAUGGAAAAUACAAAAAAAAUCAAAUAUAAUUAAAAUUUGUUAAAAAGUUAUAUAUUUUAAAAUUGUUUAAUUUUUUUAUAUAAUAGAACUAAAUAAGUAAAAUGAGUUUCAAGAAACAUAUAAAAAUAUUUUUGUGGACCCAUAUUUUUCACAUGUACCCUCACUCAAUCCGAGAGACUCGCUUUUAUUGGUUAAAAAUUAAUUUUGGAAAAGUUAGAGUCGCCACUUAUUUUAUGUUAUUUUAAAAGGGAAAAUAAAACAAGAAAGAAAAACCUAAAGAAGUGACUCCAUAGUUUUUGGAAAAGCGUGUAUUUGAAAAACCCGAGUCUAGGUCCGGGAUUAGAUUAUCUAUUAGGAAGAUACCUUUAAGAGGUAACACUCCUCUAAGCCAUAAAGAGAUCUCUAUUGACUAAGUUGAGGGGAAUGUGAUAAUUAAUUAAUUGAUUGAAAAUACCUAGAUAGACUGAGGUAAUUUCAAAAUUAACAUACCAAGCCAAAAAGUCAAAUCAUGAUCAUAAAAGAGAGUUAACGUGUGUAUCUGAACCGCUUUUCAAGUGUUAUCAUAAAACAUCAAAGUUAGUAUAAAAAUAUAGUAUAGAACAUGUGUUUUAUCCAAGCAAAUCAAGCAUACAUCUAGGCAUCCAAGAAUGAUAUCAAGUGAGGAUAUAGUUCUUAAUGACAUAUAUAUUCAUGGAACUUUAAAAUGGGAAGAUAGAGAGCGUACCUAUGUAGCAAGCGUAAGUGAUUACAUAAAAAUGAGGUUAAUUCACCAAUAACAACGAUAAUAUUAAAGAAUAAUAAAUAAAAAUAACUAAACCUAUAUAUAUAUAUAUAUAUAUAUAUAUAUAUAUAUAUAUAUAUAUAUAUAUAUACACACACUUAGAAGGUCUCAAGUCAAGGAAAGUUCACAAGUAUGAUCAAAAGUGACUAAAUUACCAAAAACCAAGGAAAUAUUAUUAAAAGGGUAGAAUAUCAAUUCACAAAAUAAACUCCAAAUAAAUAUCAAGAAAGAUUAUCUCACCAAAAUAAAAAUUAGGUAACAUCUUUAACAUUUCUAGAUAAACAUCCAAUAGGCCAAAUUAAUCGAUUAUAUUCCAAUCAACAACAAAUUUAUUCACAAAAGGGUUACUUCACAAAAAAAGUCAGCAAACAAUUAGAAUAGAAGACUGUAUAAAAUAAAUUUAAAACAAAUACCUAGAAGUUAAGUUUUAUCAAGAAAAUUUUUAGAGAAUACCUCCUAUAUGUCUAGUUUAUCAUAUAAGUGACCAAAUUAAUUAGCCAGCCCUCGUUUAGUACCAGAUUUCAUGAUGAUGAUAAUAGGUCCAGAACAGAGCAUUUUUUAAAGGUAUUCAAUGAUUGAUUUUUAAAAAUAACUUAUAGAUGUCUUAAAAUCAUACAAAAAUUCAUACAACUAUCUUAAUGUAUUUAUUUUAUAUUAAAAAUAAUCUCAGGAGAUAACACUUUCAUAACAUAUUAUAAAAUAAAUAAACAUAUCUCAGCUCUAGAAGAGCACUCAUGCAAUGGGUGCAAGAAUAAAAAAUUAUAUCUUUUAUUUCUUAAAUUAUUUAAUAAUAUUUUAUACAUAAAAAAUUAAACUUAAGAAGUCUAGUUUAAAAGAAAAAUGUUCAAAUAAAUUAAAGAGAUCAUUUAUUAAUCUAAUUUUGUAAAACAAAACUGAGUGUCAAAAAUAGAUUGAAAACUGAUGCGGAUGCACCUUUUCUCUUUCUAUGGUGCAGCUGCACCUUCCUUCCUCUGAUGGAUGCAUGCUCCCCUAGAUGCAGUCGUGCUUCCCCAAAGCUUUUUCUGGUGCGGCCGAAUUCGAACCCCCCUUCAUGUGCUAAAAAUUUUCCUCUCCAAAACUCCUCCUUCGCUUCAAUGGUGCGACUGCCUCUCUGCCCUCUCUCAAUCGAUCUUUAUCACUUCUCAAUCAAUCUCCCUCACGCUCAAUGGCGCGACUGUCAAUCCUCACACUCCAGAAUGGUCUGCAAAUCGUCUCCCUCUGCUAGGAAAAAAGAAAAACCAAAAACUCCUUUCAAUACCAUACACGCUCGUCCUUUCUUUCUCCAUCUCCUGAACACAGCCCCACUUUCUGUCCACAUACAUGCUGCAUCCUUCCAUUUUCACUUGCCAAAACCAACUUUGUAAUCUUCCCUUCGGAAAGAAUGACGCUAUGCUCACUGGACUGAUUCUCC